RNAcentral lists this non-coding RNA (99 nucleotides) under Amphibacillus xylanus. RNAcentral describes it as "TPP sequence". It matches the Rfam family "TPP riboswitch aptamer (THI element)". From Rfam's summary of the family: Vitamin B(1) in its active form thiamin pyrophosphate (TPP) is an essential coenzyme that is synthesised by coupling of pyrimidine and thiazole moieties in bacteria. The previously detected thiamin-regulatory element, thi box was extended, resulting in a new, highly conserved RNA secondary structure, the THI element, which is widely distributed in eubacteria and also occurs in some archaea. Lineage: Bacteria; Bacillati; Bacillota; Bacilli; Caryophanales; Bacillaceae. The record is from RNAcentral. RNAcentral also lists the same sequence under 1 other name.
AUGAAUCACUAGGGGAGCAAUAUUGCUGAGAAAGACAUGUCUUGACCCUUUGAACCUGAUCUAGGUCAUACUAGCGUAGGGAAGUGAUGGCGGACAAAA